RNAcentral lists this ribosomal RNA (427 nucleotides) under uncultured bacterium. RNAcentral describes it as "bacterial SSU rRNA". It matches the Rfam family "Bacterial small subunit ribosomal RNA", at positions 64 to 480 of the family's 1533-position model. The record is from RNAcentral.
GAGUGCUUGCACUCAAUUGGAAAGAGGAGUGGCGGACGGGUGAGUAACACGUGGGUAACCUACCCAUCAGAGGGGGAUAACACUUGGAAACAGGUGCUAAUACCGCAUAACAGUUUAUGCCGCAUGGCAUAAGAGUGAAAGGCGCUUUCGGGUGUCGCUGAUGGAUGGACCCGCGGUGCAUUAGCUAGUUGGUGAGGUAACGGCUCACCAAGGCCACGAUGCAUAGCCGACCUGAGAGGGUGAUCGGCCACACUGGGACUGAGACACGGCCCAGACUCCUACGGGAGGCAGCAGUAGGGAAUCUUCGGCAAUGGACGAAAGUCUGACCGAGCAACGCCGCGUGAGUGAAGAAGGUUUUCGGAUCGUAAAACUCUGUUGUUAGAGAAGAACAAGGACGUUAGUAACUGAACGUCCCCUGACGGUAUCU